Molecule: ribosomal RNA, 467 nt
Filed under: uncultured bacterium
Lineage: Bacteria
Description: partial 16S ribosomal RNA
Rfam family: Bacterial small subunit ribosomal RNA
Source: RNAcentral
GAUGAACGCUGGCGGCGUGCUUAACACAUGCAAGUCGAACGGAAAGGCCCAAGCUUGCUUGGGUACUCGAGUGGCGAACGGGUGAGUAACACGUGGGUGAUCUGCCCUGCACUUCGGGAUAAGCCUGGGAAACUGGGUCUAAUACCGGAUAGGACCACUUCUUGGAUGUUGUGGUGGAAAGUUUUUUCGGUGUGGGAUGAGCUCGCGGCCUAUCAGCUUGUUGGUGGGGUAAUGGCCUACCAAGGCGUCGACGGGUAGCCGGCCUGAGAGGGUGUACGGCCACAUUGGGACUGAGACACGGCCCAGACUCCUACGGGAGGCAGCAGUGGGGAAUAUUGCACAAUGGGCGCAAGCCUGAUGCAGCGACGCCGCGUGGGGGAUGACGGCCUUCGGGUUGUAAACUCCUUUCGCUAGGGACGAAGCGUUUUGUGACGGUACCUGGAGAAGAAGCACCGGCUAACUACGUG